This 479-nucleotide ribosomal RNA is filed under the name uncultured bacterium. Its description in RNAcentral is "bacterial SSU rRNA". It matches the Rfam family "Bacterial small subunit ribosomal RNA", at positions 19 to 518 of the family's 1533-position model. The record is from RNAcentral.
CUGGCUCAGAUUGAACGCUGGCGGCAGGCCUAAUACAUGCAAGUCGAACGGUAAUAUAGGAAAAGCUUGCUUUCCUGAUGACGAGUGGCGGACGGGUGAGUAAAGUUGGGAAGCUACCUGAUAGAGGGGGACAACAGUUGGAAACGACUGCUAAUACCGCAUACAGCCUGAGGGUGAAAGCAGCAAUGCGCUAUCAGAUGCGCCCAAAUGGGAUUAGCUAGUAGGUGAGGUAAAGGCUCACCUAGGCGACGAUCUCUAGCUGGUCUGAGAGGAUGAUCAGCCACAUUGGGACUGAGACACCGGCCCAGACUCCUACGGGAGGCAGCAGGUAGGGAAUAUUGCACAAUGGAAGGAAACUCUGAUGCAGCCAUGCCGCGUGUGUGAAGAAGGCCGUUCGGGUUAGUAAAGCUACUUUCGGAGGGGAGGAGAAUGACGUUACCCUCGGAAGAAGCACCGGCUAACUCCGUGCCAGCCGCUGC